CCAGAUAGCUAACUUGUUUAAAGGAGGAAAAACCAGGACAUUUUAACCUUGAUAAAUGAAAGUAUAACACAAUAAAUUUCUAUGAAAUAGAUUUGUUCCAGAAAACCAAGACGGUCUUUUGAGUGAAAAAGUAAAAUCAACCAUUUAAUCUAAAAUUUCCCAGGAAAGUACAUUCUAACAAGAUGAAAGACAAAAGAUUAGUCAUUGCCCUUUCUUUUGUUCUUUCUCUCUUUUUUUCAAACUGAGACAGAGCCUUGUUCUGUUGCCCAGGCUGGAGUACAGUGGCAUGAUCACAACUCUCUGCAGCCUUGAACUCCUGGGCUCAAGAGAUCCUCCUACCUCAGUCUUCUGGGUAGCUGGGACUAGAGGCAUGUGCCAUCACAUGUGGCUAAAUGUUAAACUUUUUGCAGAGACAAGGUCUCUAUGUUGCUCAGGAUGGUCUCAAAUUCCUGAGGUCAAGCCAUCCUCCUGCCUCAGCCUCCCAAAGUGCUGGGAUUACAGGUGUGAGCCACCACGACUGGCUCCCUUUGUUAACAGAAACAGAAAAAAAUAAAAUGACAUAAAACGUAAUAAAAUACAGGAAGAAAAACCAGGAUCUAAUGAUAUAACUAAUGAGACUGGAAUAGGGUGGAAAUAAUGGGGAAGUGGGAACAGGUUAAUAAGGAUGAGGGGGAAAUGACACUUUUGAGUAUAUCGUUUUUUAUAUAGUUUAAAAUCAUGGUAAUGUUUCACAUAUCCAAAAUAAAACGAAUAAUUAAAAUUAACCAGAGCAUGGCAGGAACCCAAAAUGGAAUAUACAGGGUAACAAAUGAAUAAUUUGUUACAAUUGAGUAACAUAAUCACAUUGAAGGGGGUGAGGAAGAAAGAAGUUACCUCAGUUGGAAAGCAAGUGUUUUGAAUAUACACUAUAAGACUGAUGACAAAAGGUACUAUAAACAAAUAUUUCCUAAAGUCAGUUUGUCACAGGGGUCUAGGUUAGCAAUUCUAAAACCAUCUUACAUAUACACUAGGAUGGGAGCAAUGAGUAUGCUGUGGAGAAUGAGAGCAUUUUCUCACUUCUGGAGAAUGGAGUUUCAAAUGAGCAAAGGGCAAAUAAACUUGUGGUGUUGGAUUGGAACUGGAACUGCAACUGCCAAAUCUUGCUGUUGUCCAGGCUGAAGCACAAUGGCACAAUCACGGCUCUCUGCUGUAGCAUUCAUCUCCAGAGCUCAAGUGAUUCUUCCACCUCAGCCUCCCAAGUAGCUGGGACUACAGGGACGUGACACCACACUUGACUAAUUCUCUUGAUGCUUUUUAGUAGAGAUGGGGCCUCACUAUGCUGUCCUGGCUGGUCUCGAAUUCCUAAGCUCAAGAGAUCCUC
This 1360-nucleotide long non-coding RNA is filed under the name Homo sapiens (human). Its description in RNAcentral is "HSALNT0333991". Lineage: Eukaryota; Metazoa; Chordata; Mammalia; Primates; Hominidae. The record is from RNAcentral.